UUGCUCUCCCUCAGAGCGCAAAGAUGAAAGAUCAUCUGGCAGUUUCACCUUUUGUUGGCUCCACGACCUUACCAUCAGCCUCCCUGCUUAAAAACAACAACCCUAAUUUUUAUUUUCGUCCCUAUAGCUCUAGCUCUUCUCUUUGACUCCGGGUCCCUUGCAUUUGAGGUAUAUAUAACCAAUGAUUUUGCUUAAUUAUGUGGGUUUCAUUGAUUUAUUUUUAUUCCCUAUUUUUGUGUUUUCAUUCAUUCUGUGUUGAUGCUUUUUCCAAGAUCUGUUGUCCUUGGUGUAUAGCUUCUUCGAAAAUUAAGAUUUGGCUUUUGUUUCUCAACAAGGAGUAGGGAUUUCCUUCAAUCAUGAAUUCGGAUAAGAAGAUAAUCUGCUGCAUAAUCUCAAAAGCCUGUGCAUGCAGCAGCCAACCAGCAGGGAUUUCUCUGUUUUAUUCUAUAUAUAUAUAAUUUCAAUGCGCUUGAUUAAACCCUUUACUGUUGGUUAGGGUUUUGGGAAAUCAUCAUCAAUAUAAUCCUCAACAUGGGGGCAUGAUUACUAGAAUUUUAAAGAGUACAAAGACUGAAAGGAACACGUUUUUUGAAGGUGGACAGCCAAUUAUGAAAAAAUAUAAUGUAGUUUGCUCAAGGUUGUUUGUUCAGUUCAGUGUCUCUUUCAUUUUUGCAACUACGUCAGACAUUGGAACUCAUCUGUAUAGUCAGGACCAGCUUCAUUUGCUUCCCAUUACUGUAGUUGGCCGUUACAGUUACCUUUUUCUUUUUCUUCCUUUAGUUUUUAUCCCUCUCUGUCUUGUUCUCCUACUUCUCCUUCAUGUAUGAAGUAUAACUAAAUACACUGCUAAUCUGCUUAUUAUUGUACUAAACAGUGAUAUUAGGCAUGCACUACUGCACCAAUAUUCUCCAGUCUUGGCAAAAUUACACCAUUAAUUUAUCUUUUUACAAUUAAUUGCAGUGUUUCAAUUAAAUAAUCGACCCUAAUUCAUUAAUCUUCUUCUUCUUCUUCUUGUUCAAUCCAGUUAUCAAUUAUUAGGUGAAGUUGAGUUAAGCCUGAGGUGGCCAUAUUCGUAGCUCUGGCCUCUCGGGUUUCUUUCGUCUUUGUAAUUUGGUGGGAAGCCGAGUGUAGCCAAGAUUCCCUGUAGCUUUCCUUUUCAUAUAUAUGCAUGCUUACCC
This 1178-nucleotide long non-coding RNA is filed under the name Linum usitatissimum (flax). Its description in RNAcentral is "long non-coding RNA (LUSI_LNC004244)". The record is from RNAcentral. Lineage: Eukaryota; Viridiplantae; Streptophyta; Magnoliopsida; Malpighiales; Linaceae.